CUGAGGCCAGGGUAGUUCCCUGCCAGCAGCCAGAGAAAAAGGCGCUCCUGGAGUAAUGAUGUGAGGCAGAAGCCUGACUGCAGUUUUGUUUCUAUUACACUACCUUAAUUACCAUGGAGAAGAUUACAAGCAAAGAGUUCUAAAUUCAGAAGAGAAAAAUAAGAAGCAGGCAACAGGAGAACUUAACACAGACUCCAGCAGCCUGUAUACCAAAAGUGAGAGCAGCAAGAAGCACUCCCUGCAUCUCAGAACAAGACUGCCCUUCUCUCCACUUGCUAUGGAAAGGGCUACAGACACCAAACCACAUUUUGAACAGUGUAUAUAGACAAAACAUAUGUAUAGUAUAUUUGGGAGCAGCCUGCCCUGGAUAUACUGCUGCCAUGUUAUAAACAGGUGUUAUAUUGAACACUGUAUUUAGGCAAAAAAUGACCUGCCUGGGAGUUUUCUUAAAUAAAGAAUACAG
Long non-coding RNA from Alligator mississippiensis (American alligator), 463 nucleotides. RefSeq lists it as uncharacterized. The record is from RefSeq and is a predicted model, not a curated record. The transcript is spliced from 3 exons. Lineage: Eukaryota; Metazoa; Chordata; Crocodylia; Alligatoridae.